GGAAUUUGGUAUAAUCCAAAACUACCCUAUGUUUUACUUGUCAGUGUCUUAAUUUGGAAUACUUUUCAUUUACCUCUGUUUGGACAUAAGCCCAAUGAGAUCUUCUACCAAUAUCCUCUUCAAGUUAGGCAUUCUUAUCCACCACUAUAUUUCAAAUGGACUUCCACAUAAAAGGUACUCAAUAAACGUGUGCUGAAUGAACAAAUGAGCAAAGUGUGGGGAAAUAAUAAUGUUUAGCCUGAGGAGAAAUGGAAGAUAAAAGAGCAGUUUUCAUAUAACAAAAGAUCUAUAUCAAAAAAGGAGACUUAUUUCUGUUUUCUCCAGAGAGAUGAUGUAGGAUGAAACGGCGAACAUUUCAAGAAAAAAAGGUCUGGGCUCACCAUUAGGGAACAUCUUCUCAGUCACAGGACUGUCUGAAUUGACAAGGGCUCCUUAUUAGUCACAAAAAGAUUUCUAGGAGUAGGAAGCUCUGUCCAUAAGUUAUCAGUUAACCUAAAUAUCCUCUGCUUUAUUUAUUCAUUUGUCUUUUUAGGGCUGCACUUGUAGCAUAUGGAGGUUCCUGGGCUAGGGGUCUAAUAGGAGCUAUAGCUGUCGGUCUACACCACAGCCACAGCAGCGCACGAUCUGAGUCACGUCUGCGACCUACACCACAGCUCAGGGCAAUGCCAGAUCCUUAACCCACUGAGCAAGGCCAGGGAUCGAAUGCACAACCUCAUGGCUCCUGGUCAGAUUCGUUUCCGCUGCGCCACGAUGGGAACUCCCAGAAUCUCCCAUGAUUUAAAGUGCAUUAACAGUAUCAUAAAACUACACAUGAAGAUUGAAAGUGAUCUAGGUGGUUGCUCAGAGAUGGUGUCUUAAAAGACAGUAAAGAAAAAAAAAUCAGUACAAAUUGGAUUCUGCAUGAAGUAAGGAGGGAGGAAGAAGAAAAAGUCCUCAUAAUCUUUUUUUUCAGUGAGCAUUUAGUAAAUACACAGAACUAUAAGCUGGAGAUGGAGGAGGAUACUAUUAUUAAUGAAAUUGAUAACAAAACAAAAGGAGAUGGCCAAUUUAAGUAAUGAAUUGAUAACAAUGAAUUCCCUUUGUAAUGGUUAGGGUUCCACUUUUUAUGAGAAAACCAGAAUUAAAAAAAAAAAGCAAAGUACAUGUGACUGGAGAAUAGGUACAAGGCCAGAUUUAGAUACCUUCAUUUCAGAAUACUUGCUAAAAGAAUGGUAUCCUCAAUCCCUGAGAAUGGAUCAGCUUUCUGCAGAAAUAUUUAAAGGGAACGAUAAAUUAAGGACAGGAAGAGCAUUAAAAUUAUAGUUCUGCAAGGAUCAUUUUUAAAUGCCAUCCAAUCAUUCAUUCAUCCUUGGGCAAAAGUCCACUUAAACAAAAAUCCAAAGGUCAUUAUCUUUUAUUCUCAUAAACAUCUCCACUAAAAGGCAUUCUUAAAAAUCUUCCUGCAAAACAUGUUUCAAACACUAAAGAUAUCUGUAUUAAAAACCUUUCUAUUUUAAAUGUAGUUAUGGAACACAAAUGGUAACAUUUAUUAUAUUAAAUGCUGUCAAAUAAUCAUAUAUUGAGUUAUAUUUUGAUUUGCCUAAGGGAUAAACAGAACUUAAACACUUUUUUUUCUUGGCCUUUUAAAAAUUUAUAAUUUCUAGAAUAAGCUUAUAGCAUAAGCUUAUUAGAAAAUGGCAUAUUCUCUUUUGACAAGUCCAAAGUAUCAAUCUGUAUUGCAUCAAAUUAAGUAUUUCUCAAGUGGUGAAAAAAAGCUUCUGCAUUUCCAUAAAUGCCCCAGUAUUGUAAAAUAAACAUUAUCUUUCUGCAUCAACUUAAGACAUUAUAAUUCAUGAAAUUUAAAUUAUGAAGAUCUAGUUGUUGUUUUCCUCCCAAGUCGUGAUUUUUUGUUGCAGUUAUUAUUCUCUUUUCAACCUUACCCAAUCAUAAACAAGGCAAAAACAAUCAUAGAAAUUAAAGAAAAACUAAGUUUAUAGACUGUAUAGCAUCUUUCUAAUUUAGCCACUUGAAGGUAUGGAAACCACAAAGUUAGUAAAUAUUUUAUUAUUAGUAAUCAGGAAGUAAAAGGAGAGGAAAAAUGCUAAACAUGCUUAUGAAAAUAUUAAAUUCCUAAAAUUGUGUUUAGAAGAAAUCAACUUAAGUGGUAAGGUAAGCUAUAUUUCAAAUUAAUGGUCUACUGCUAUAAAAAUAACAGCUAUAAUCCAAUCAAAGGCCUACAUUCAGUUAUUCUACAAGCAAGCAUAAAAAGAACUGGAUGACUGCCCUUUGCGUAUACUAGAGGAAAUUGUAUUCUACCAAUAUCCUAAAACAUUUAUGUUAUAUACAUGCUCUAGUAAAUGUCAGCAUAAUAUAAUGUAUGGAAAAGAGUUAAUAUAGCAGGCCUGAGACUGCCUAUCCUUAGAACAGCCUCCUUGCAAGGCUGGCCCUUGGCCAGCUCCUGGGAACUUGGCUGAUAAACAAGUCUGGGAUUUUGGUAAGUGCUAGGCAGAGGAUGCUUACGUGACCAGCCCUGAGUAAAAUCCUUGAGUGAUAAGUCUCUAAUGAGAUUCACUGGUACAUAACACUUUGCACGUGUUGUCACAAGUCACUAGAGGAAUUAAGUGUUUAACUGUGUGACUCCUCUGGGAGGGGACUCUUAAAAGCUUCUGUCUGAUUCCCUUUGCUAAUUUUGCUUUAUAUCCUUUUGCUGUAAUAAAUCUUAUCCAUGAAUAUAACAAUACACUAAAUCUUAUGAAUCCUUACAACAAAACACCAAACCUGAGGAUAGUCUUGGGGAACAAUGACAAAGACAGUUUGAGACUGUUUGACUACUAAACAUCAAUUCCCUGGAUUUACACAUUAAAGAUGUUUAUCACAUUUGCAGGUGGGAAAUGUUUAAUGAAUAUAUUGGAAGAUACAAUGAAGUUUCAAAAAGGCUGGAACAACAGAGCCAACUCUAAUGAGAUAAAUUUUAAAGGAGAUAAAGACUGUGUAAAAUAGUGUUUAAAAAAACAGACUACUCUACCUGUAGGCAGAAGGAACAUGUAUGAAAAAGACCAAGGAGUUUAUUGAAAAUAAACUCAAUACGUUAAGUGGUAAAAUGUAACUAUUAGAGAUAUCUAAUUUACUUCUGUGCUGAAUAAAAAGCAGUAUGGUAUAUAAACCAAAGGGAAAUAAUAACCCCAUUCUCCUGUUAAUUUUCAUAUCACAUAUAGAACAUUAUAUUCAUCCAUUUAAAGAAUAUAUUAGAGCACAUUCAUAG
RNAcentral lists this long non-coding RNA (3241 nucleotides) under Sus scrofa (pig). RNAcentral's name for it is "lncRNA (ENSSSCG00040059737.1)". The record is from RNAcentral. Lineage: Eukaryota; Metazoa; Chordata; Mammalia; Artiodactyla; Suidae.